RNAcentral lists this long non-coding RNA (1020 nucleotides) under Cyanistes caeruleus (blue tit). RNAcentral's name for it is "lncRNA (ENSCCEG00000001473.1)". The record is from RNAcentral. Lineage: Eukaryota; Metazoa; Chordata; Aves; Passeriformes; Paridae.
AUGGAAUGGUCUCAAGCCUUAUUUUUGACCUGCUCCAUGGCCAGUUCUGACCGGAGCUGUGUGAUUCAGCACCACUGGCCAUGGGGGCAGCUGCAGGGCUGUCCCACGGAGUCCUCCAGCACACGGAAAAUUUGCCCCAGGGAAAGGGAGAGGCUCAGGUUGGUGAUUUUUGGUUCAGCCCCUGCUCUUACACCCCUGGGAAGAGCUGUUUGUGUGUUUUCCUGCCCCUGGGACAUCCCUGGCCCCAACCCAAACAGCAAAGCACUGCUCUGCCCUUCCCCUCCCUGUCCCUGUCCUCCCUGUGUCCCCUCCCCAACACGAGGCCCUGGGGCCCGCCGGGCUCAUGUGAGGAGGGAUUUAAUCUCCUUAGGGGCUCAGGGGCCAGGCGGGGGGGCCUCGCUGCACCCCCACACUCUGAGCACUCCAAUGCUCCUAUUGUUUGGGGCUGGGAGCUGGGGGGAGGGUGAGGUGGGGGGCAUGGGACCCCCUGCUCCCCACACAUCCCUCGUUUCCCCCAGGACCAGAGCAGGGUGUUCCAGAGGAGGGGGGAUGACCCUUCCUUGGUGCUGGGGCUGUGCAGGAGCUGGAAGAGGAUGUGGAUGGCUUUGGGGGGGCCCUCAUUCGUAUCCAGGGGGAUUUUGGGGUGCAGGAGCUGGGAUGUCUGGCUUCUCCCUGCACAUCCCCCCAGUCCUUCCUUCCCCAUCCCUCUGCCUGCAGUGGCCAGGUGGUUUGGGAGCCUUGGGCUCACAUGUGUGUGGGAAGCCAAAGCCACCCAGCCCAGCUCCCUCUGGCCCCGCUGUCCCAGGGCUCCCUAAUCCUGGCACAGAGACAUUCUGUGUGCACCAAGGGUAUUUUUAUCCUCUUACUGCUGCCUGUUUCCUGUUGAGCUGCAGAUGCUUUGGGUCAGCUCUGUCUCACAAGCAGGAUGGCUCAGAGCUCGCUGGGUUUGGGGGCAUAUUGAGGUGGCUCGAGGUUGUAUUUCCUUUGUCUCAGUUUAAAACAAAGGCAAAGGGUCAGUAA